ACUCAACACGUAUUUCUUUAAAAAAGGUGAGUCGUGGUUGUAAAAGCAAGCCGGACCUAUGCGCCGGAUCCUUGAUCAGCCAGUUAACCUUAUACUUUAUAUAAGGAGUUC
RNAcentral lists this small RNA (111 nucleotides) under Nonlabens sp. RNAcentral describes it as "6S-Flavo RNA". It matches the Rfam family "6S-Flavo RNA". The record is from RNAcentral. Lineage: Bacteria; Pseudomonadati; Bacteroidota; Flavobacteriia; Flavobacteriales; Flavobacteriaceae. RNAcentral also lists the same sequence under 4 other names.